This 410-nucleotide ribosomal RNA is filed under the name uncultured bacterium. Its description in RNAcentral is "bacterial SSU rRNA". It matches the Rfam family "Bacterial small subunit ribosomal RNA", at positions 370 to 772 of the family's 1533-position model. The record is from RNAcentral.
AAUGGGGGCAACCCUGAUCCAGCCAUGCCGCGUGAGUGAAGAAGGCCUUCGGGUUGUAAAGCUCUUUCGGCCGGGAAGAAAUCGCAUGGGUGAAUACCCUGUGUGGAUGACGGUACCGGAACAAGAAGCACCGGCUAACUACGUGCCAGCAGCCGCGGUAAUACGUAGGGUGCGAGCGUUAAUCGGAAUUACUGGGCGUAAAGCGUGCGCAGGCGGUUAUGUAAGACAGAUGUGAAAUCCCCGGGCUCAACCUGGGAACUGCGUUUGUGACUGCAUAACUAGAGUACGGCAGAGGGAGGUGGAAUUCCGCGUGUAGCAGUGAAAUGCGUAGAUAUGCGGAGGAACACCGAUGGCGAAGGCAGCCUCCUGGGCCAGUACUGACGCUCAUGCACGAAAGCGUGGGGAGCAAA